RNAcentral lists this ribosomal RNA (253 nucleotides) under uncultured Acidobacteriota bacterium. RNAcentral's name for it is "uncultured Acidobacteria bacterium partial 16S ribosomal RNA". It matches the Rfam family "Bacterial small subunit ribosomal RNA", at positions 524 to 776 of the family's 1533-position model. The record is from RNAcentral. Lineage: Bacteria; Pseudomonadati; Acidobacteriota.
UACGGGGGGAGCAAGCGUUGUUCGGAUUUACUGGGCGUAAAGGGCGCGUAGGCGGCCGCCCCAGUCACUUGUGAAAUCUCCGGGCUCAACCCGGAGCGGCCAAGUGAUACUGGGCGGCUAGAGUGCGGAAGGGGCCAUCGGAAUUCUCGGUGUAGCGGUGAAAUGCGUAGAUAUCGAGAGGAACACCUGCGGCGAAGGCGGGUGGCUGGGCCGACACUGACGCUGAGGCGCGAAAGCCAGGGGAGCGAACGGG